GCCUGGAUGGUGGAAUGGGUAGACACGCAGGACUUAAAAUCCUGUAGCUUUAAAUAAGCUGUGUGGGUUCAAAUCCCACUCCAGGUA
This 87-nucleotide transfer RNA is filed under the name Candidatus Karelsulcia muelleri. Its description in RNAcentral is "tRNA-Leu". It matches the Rfam family "tRNA". Rfam says of the family: Transfer RNA (tRNA) molecules are approximately 80 nucleotides in length. Lineage: Bacteria; Pseudomonadati; Bacteroidota; Flavobacteriia; Flavobacteriales. The record is from RNAcentral.